RNAcentral lists this ribosomal RNA (253 nucleotides) under uncultured bacterium. RNAcentral's name for it is "partial 16S ribosomal RNA". It matches the Rfam family "Bacterial small subunit ribosomal RNA", at positions 524 to 776 of the family's 1533-position model. The record is from RNAcentral.
UACGUAGGGUGCAAGCGUUGUCCGGAAUUAUUGGGCGUAAAGGGCUCGUAGGCGGUCCAUCACGUCGGGAGUGAAAAGCUGGGGCUUAACCCCAGUCCUGCUUCCGAUACGGGUGGACUAGAGGUAGGCAGGGGAGAACGGAAUUCCUGGUGUAGCGGUGAAAUGCGCAGAUAUCAGGAGGAACACCGGUGGCGAAGGCGGUUCUCUGGGAAUGUUCUGACGCUGAGGAGCGAAAGCGUGGGGAGCGAACAGG